RNAcentral lists this transfer RNA (72 nucleotides) under Heterocephalus glaber (naked mole-rat). It matches the Rfam family "tRNA". Rfam says of the family: Transfer RNA (tRNA) molecules are approximately 80 nucleotides in length. Their secondary structure includes four short double-helical elements and three loops (D, anti-codon, and T loops). Further hydrogen bonds mediate the characteristic L-shaped molecular structure. tRNAs have two regions of fundamental functional importance: the anti-codon, which is responsible for specific mRNA codon recognition, and the 3' end, to which the tRNAs corresponding amino acid is attached (by aminoacyl-tRNA synthetases). tRNAs cope with the degeneracy of the genetic code in two manners: having more than one tRNA (with a specific anti-codon) for a particular amino acid; and 'wobble' base-pairing, i.e. permitting non-standard base-pairing at the 3rd anti-codon position. The record is from Rfam by way of RNAcentral. Lineage: Eukaryota; Metazoa; Chordata; Mammalia; Rodentia; Bathyergidae.
GGGGGUAUAGCUCAAUAGUGAAGCACUUGCCUGGCAUGUGCAAGGCUCUGGGUUCAAUCCCUAGUAUCACCA